GUGCUCACUUCAGCAGUACAUAUACUAAAAUUGGAACGAUACAGAGAAGAUUAGCAUAGCCCCU
Molecule: small nuclear RNA, 64 nt
Organism: Pan troglodytes (chimpanzee)
Lineage: Eukaryota; Metazoa; Chordata; Mammalia; Primates; Hominidae
Source: Ensembl